RNAcentral lists this unclassified non-coding RNA (310 nucleotides) under uncultured fungus. RNAcentral describes it as "partial contains small subunit ribosomal RNA, internal transcribed spacer 1, and 5.8S ribosomal RNA". The stretch from base 1 to 128 matches the Rfam family "Eukaryotic small subunit ribosomal RNA", at positions 1759 to 1831 of the family's 1831-position model. The record is from RNAcentral. Lineage: Eukaryota; Fungi.
GCAAACUUGGUCAUUUAGAGGAAGUAAAAGUCGUAACAAGGUUUCCGUAGGUAUGUAUUGUCGAACCGAUACCCCUUUGUUGAACAAUUGCUAACUGAAUUCCAGGUGAACCUGCGGAAGGAUCAUUAAAGGUUUAGGGUACCCAGUGCCCAAACUUCAACCCUAUGUUUUGUUAAGCUGUUUCUUUGCCGGUCUCGGCCGGCAGAAGACUUCUCAAACCCCUCAUGAAUCUGCUCUGAAUAUAACCAUAAAAAUCGUUAAAACUUUCAACAACGGAUCUCUUGGUUCUGGCAUCGAUGAAGAACGCAGC